Molecule: ribosomal RNA, 699 nt
Filed under: Triticum aestivum (bread wheat)
Lineage: Eukaryota; Viridiplantae; Streptophyta; Magnoliopsida; Poales; Poaceae
Description: partial small subunit ribosomal RNA
Source: RNAcentral
AGGGCUUCUUAUUCCACAAGAACGAAAGCACCUUUCAUUCUUUCAUAUACUAGGGGUUUUUACAUGGAAAAGACAAUGUUCCAUACUAAAGGAUUCGGGUCCAUAACCACGAGUUCCAGUGCACUAGAUCUUGUAGCACUUAGCAACGAAGCCCUAUCCAUUAGUAUUCCACAUAAGAAAUCCAUUCUAGAAAAAAAUACAAUUAGAUUAGCUCUUCAUAGACAAACUUCGGGUUUGCGAGCCAAGGUAAGAUCGGCUCGGGAUCAUGGGACCCUUUUCUAUCAGAUAGGAGGGGCUCUUGUACAAAAUAGAUUAGUAAGUAAUAACCCCGUAGAAUCUAUCUAUAUAAAGAUAAAGAGGCAAUCAUGUCAGGAAGCGGGUUUUUCUUUGGCCAAAAGGUACUUCAAACUUGGAACGAUCAUGAAGAGAUUAACGAGACUUCUUUCUCUUUUGAGUUUUUCUGGCGGACCUGCCGCGCAAGAUCUUUGGUCUUCCCCUGGAACCGAUGAAAAAAAGUGGAUCGCUUCUUAUGUACUCGCUCAGAAUAAUUCUUCUCUAUCUAUAGUUCAUGGCCUAUUAGAAGUAGAAGGUGCUCUGGUGCAAUCCUUACCGACAGAAAAAGAUUGCAGUCAGGUUGAUAAUAGUCGAGUUACAUUACUUCGUCGGUCCGAACUAAGGAAUCUGUUAGAAAUGUUUUGA